This is a long non-coding RNA of Mesocricetus auratus (golden hamster), 4706 nucleotides long. RefSeq lists it as uncharacterized. The transcript has 2 exons. The record is from RefSeq and is a predicted model, not a curated record. NCBI's taxonomy places the organism in Eukaryota, Metazoa, Chordata, Mammalia, Rodentia, Cricetidae.
GAUCUAUAACAUGACAGCUGGAAUCAGCAGAUGUAAACUUUUAUAUACGCACCAUUAAUGCUGAAGAGAAGAGAUUACGCGAUGGAUAAUUUCAUCAGAGCUGGAAGCUAUUUUUAAAGUCACAUAAGGGGUCAGUGAGGUGGGUGAGUGGAUGAAGGUGAGUGUGUAAACCCUGGCGGCUUGAGUGUAGUCCUAGGGACCCAUAUGGUGGACAGAGAGCCAACCCCUUUCUAAGUUUCCUUGACCUCCACCUGCACACUGUAGCAUGUGUCCACCCACCCGACACACACACACACACACAAAUGUAAGUUGUUUUCUUGGUUUUUUGUUUGUUUGUUUGUUUGUUUUGAGAAACGGUCUCUCUAUAUAACCUCAGCUAUCCUGGAACUCACUAAGUAGACCAGCCUGGCCUCGAAUUCACAACGAUCUGUCUGCCUCUGCCCCCCCCCUCAAGUACUGGGAUUAAAGUGUAUAUCACCAUUCCCAGAUAGAUAAAUGUAAUUUAAAAGUCACAUAAAAUUAUAAAACUACUAUGAUCAAUGAAACAAGGCUCUCAAUUGUCAGACUUACCAACCAAUUAAAGAGAAACAAGCAAGAUUAUGGAAUAGAAUAUAAGCCAAUUUAAAAUAUUUAGACUGAAGAAGAGCCAGAAGCUAAAGCACUCUCAGGCUGAGGUAACAGGAUCAAUGUGAGCUCAAAGCCAGCCUCGCUGUCAACUUGACUGCAUUUGUAAUCAACUAAAAGCCAAACAGCUGGGCACAACUCUGGGGGAUUUUACUGACUGGAUCCUUUUAGGUGGGAAGACCAGCCUGAUCUGGGCCACACUCGUUGGCGGCAGCCCACAUAAUUAAAAGGACAUGGAAGAAGGGAGCAUUUGCUUUGCCCCUGCUUCUCUCACUGGUAAGUUCACCAUCCUGCUGCUGUGGCAUUCCUUCUCUGGAUUAGAACUUACUUCUUCAGGAUUCCAGAACAAGACCAGCUAAGAGAUCCAGCCUCACGGACUAAACAGCUAUCAGGUUCUUGGCCUCUCUGUCAGGGGACAGCCAUUGUUGGACUAGUCAGACCGCAACCUGUAAGCCAUUUUGUGUGUGUUUGUGUGUGUGUGUGUGUGUGUGUAUGGGUGUGUAUAUGUAUGUGUGUAUGUGUGUGUACAUGUGUGUGUGUGUUGGGCAUAACAUAAUUACAUAUUAUGUUAACAGUUAUAUGUUAUGCACAAUAUAUUAAUGUAUGUAUUACAAGAGGAUUUAUUAGAAAUAUAUGUUACACACAAUACAUAUAUAUUCCCCCUCCCCUCUGGAAAACCCUAAUACAGCUACAGAAAAAAAGAAAAAAAAAGCAGGAAUUCUAUACUUAACAAAAAAUAUCUUUCAAAAAAAUUAAGACAGUUAAGCAAAUACUGAAAAUGUCACCAUAAGAUUUGUACUAAAAGAAAACUCUUCCAGGGAAUUCUCAAUAUGCUUCUACACUGCAGUAAGAAAAGGUCUAACGUUAGUCCCAGGAGGAAAGAGAGACACAAGACACAAACUGGAAAUAUAAAAACAAUUAACUUUGAAAGAUGACAAAAGGCAAGAAGUAACAUGGCUAACCCUAAAUGAAUACUGACUUUGUAAUAAUGCCUGCUGUGUUUUCAAAUUCAGAGAACCGACCCCAGAAAAGACCAGCCUCAGGCAGGGUGGAGUGAAAGACAGUGUGGACUUGGUGUGCGCAGCGAACGGUGCAAGUGCUCACAAGGCAGGCCUCAGGCAGCCCGGAAUCCUUACUGAGAUCAGGGCACCUCUAAAACAAGGGACUCACUGAGACUAAAUGGUUUGUUAUCAUUUGUAGCAGCAAAAUAAAAACUGAGGAGGGAAGUGGUGGACUUACCUCAGGGAAGGCAGACCAAUAGAAAAACUGCAAGAUGCUACAUUGUAACCAGGUGCUUGUGGGCAGGGGUUGGGUGCACGGGGGAUGACCACCGUUAUCCCAGCAAGCAGGAGGCUGAGGCAGGAGACUGCAAGUUUGAAGCCAGCCUGGGCAAUGCUAUGCGAUGGUUAAUCCUCACUGUCAACUUGACCAGUUCGAGAAUCACCUAGAAGCACACCUCUGGGUGCAUCCAUGAAGCCUUUUCCAAGACAGCUAACCAGAAGGAAAGCUUCACCCUGAAUAUGGGUGCCACCAAAGUAAACGAAAGGAAACAAAGAGGCUGGGUGGGGUCAGCAUUCCCCAGUCUCUGCUUCCUGGGACGCUAAGACGUGCAACACACCCCAGCCACUGAGACCUCUGCCGUGCACUCCCCAUCAUGAAGGACUGCACCUUCAGACUCGGAGCCUGGGUAAGUCCUCCCACCUCAAGCUGUUUCUAUGGAGUCCUCUCCCAGUGGGAGAUUAGUGACAAAUGCACUCUCAAAUACACAGAAACGCAACAACAUCAAAAGGCACACUUAGGUCAAAUACCUCAGACAUAGCCAUAUUUUUAAAUGACCUAAUUUCUCUUUAACAAUUCAAAUAUUGCAUGCCCACUGUGGUGACACCUGAGGUGUAGGGAUGUAGACAGGUUCAAACUGAAGGUAUACUGAGAGCAACCACCAACCAGAAGGACCUAGAAGUAGGAAACGCAUAGCUUGAGAAAGUAUUAACAAAAGCAGCAUAUAUUUUACUCGAUGUUUAGAAACCAGAGACUUUCCUAACAGGGGAACAAAACAAGGAUGUUUCCUCCCGCUCCUACUCUUCGGCUUCACACUGGGAGUGGUCCUAGCUAAUUCAAUAAGAAAACUCAAUGAGAGGCAUAUAGAUUAGGAAAAUCGCUUUGUUUACAGGUGGCCUGAGUGCUGAUGCAGAAAACCCCAAACCACCAACAAAGAAACUCCCAAAAGGAAUAAACCCCAUGGCAAGGCUGUGCCAGGAGCUUGUACACAAACGUGGAGGAAAUGUUGGCAAACACUACACUGAACACAGGACUGUGCUCCAAAGCACAUGAAGAACUAUUGGGACAACAUGAAAACAACCCUAUUUUAAAACGAACCAGAGUUCUUCACAGACAUCCCAUGAAAUAAGACAUGCAGGCAGUGAGCAUGCCCAUCAUAUCCCAGUGGGAAAAUGGAAGUUAAAACAGGAAGCCACCACACACCUGUCAGCAUGGCCAAGAUGGGAAAACCGACAACACCAAAUGCCACCUAGGAAGUGAAAGGGGAACUCUCAUCCACAGCUAACAGUAAUGCAAAGCGGCUUGUGAAGCCUGCAUGUCGGUUGACAGCUUCUUACGAAACUAAUUAUACUUUUGUUAUAAAAAGAAACAAUUGUGCUUCUGUAUGGGCAGAAGGCAAAACUGGUGUGGAUGUUUAUAACAGCUUUAUUCAUAAUUAUCAAAGCCAGGCGCACUCCAGGUGCCCUUUGGUAAGCAAGUGGGUGGAUGAGCUGUCACAUGUCGAGACAACAGAAAUCUACCAGCUGGGCAUGACCUUUAAUCCCAGCACUCAGGAGACAGAGGCAAGAUCUCUGUGAGUUUGAGGCCAGCCCGCUCUACGAGGUGAGUCCAGUCCAGCAAGAAUUAAAUGAGCCAUCUCCCCAGCCCUCAGACACUGUUUUAAAUAUAUGUAGUUUAAAAUUGUUUAGAUAUAAUUCACAAACAAAAGAACUAUCAUUUUGAAAUGACCCAUUACAUGACUCGUAUAGCAGCCGAUCCCUGUUCUCUCUCUCAGCCUGCAGCAACCAUGAAUGCACUUUCUGUCUUUGGAUUUUCCCGUGCUAUGUAUUUCGUGUGUGGAAUAAUGUCAUGAGUAGCAUUUUUGUUGUGUAGCAUGUUUUCAGUGUUAUCAUAUGUAUCACAAUGUUGUUCUUCCUGAUGGUUGAGUAUUAUUCCACUGUAUACAUGCAUCACAUUUUGUCUGUUAACCUGUUGCGUUGCAUGUACUCCUUAGCCGUUAAGAGUUAAAGCUGCUGUAAAUAUUAUCAAAGGUGGGUAUUUUCUAAAGCCUGUAUUUGAUAUUCAUUUCCAGCAAGUUUUGCUUUUCUUUUCUUUGGACUUAAUUUUUAUUUACUUGUAUGUGUGUUUGUAUAUUCGCCACACGUGUGCAAAUGCCAGAAGAGGGAGCUGGAUUCCUUGGAGCUGGAGUAAGAAGCAGUUGAGCCUUGUGAGCUGCGUGAUGUGGACGCCAGGAUCCCAUCCAGACACCUCUGGAAGCCAGGGUGUGUCUGCGUGCUGCACGCAUGCCUGGUGCCCACAGAGGCCAGAAGAGGACGUCAGAUCCUCUGGAACUAGAGUUACAGAUAGCUGUGAGCAACCAUGUAGGCCUGGCGCCCAUGUUUUAAAAGCCAGGCAGUAAGAAGAUUGCUGGGAGCCUGCGGAGCUCUAAGUUCUGUGAGAAACCCAGUCUCAAGGGAGGCAGAGAAUGACAGAGAGGGACACCCAGCAUCCCCAUUUGUUUGACACACAUAUGAACAGGCACAUGCUCCCCACCACGUACAUACACACACUCACACACAUGUACACACAAUGUUGUGGAGGUUAAGAGAGGGUGGAGCUGCAGCCCCGUGGGUAGAGUGCUUGUCUAGCAUGCAGAAGACCCCGAGUUCCACCCCAGCACUGCCCACACAGGUCAUCUCAGGCUCUGGAAGGUUGUGACAGGAUGAGGAAUUCAAGCUCAUCCUCAGCCACACAGAGUGUGCGGCCAUCUCUCAAUUACAUGGGACCCUUAAAAAAAAACAGAAGUAAAAGAAAUAUAAAAUCUA